This 450-nucleotide ribosomal RNA is filed under the name uncultured bacterium. Its description in RNAcentral is "partial 16S ribosomal RNA". It matches the Rfam family "Bacterial small subunit ribosomal RNA", at positions 354 to 796 of the family's 1533-position model. The record is from RNAcentral.
GUGGGGAAUCUUCCGCAAUGGACGAAAGUCUGACGGAGCGACGCCGCGUGAGUGAAGAAGGCCUUCGGGUCGUAAAGCUCUGUCAUCAGGGACGAAUGGCCGGUGGAGUGGAAAGCCACCGGAUUGACGGUACCUGAGAAGGAAGCCACGGCUAACUACGUGCCAGCAGCCGCGGUAAUACGUAGGUGGCAAGCGUUGUCCGGAAUUAUUGGGCGUAAAGCGCGCGCAGGUGGGAUCUUAAGUCCAUUUUGAAAGUUCGGAGCUCAACUCCGUGAUGGGAUGGAAACUGGGAGUCUUGAGUACCGGAGAGGAAAGCGGAAUUCCCCGUGUAGCGGUGAAAUGCGUAGAUAUGGGGAGGAACACCAGUGGCGAAGGCGGCUUUCUGGACGGUGUCUGACACUGAGGCGCGAAAGCCAGGGGAGCGAACGGGAUUAGAAACCCCUGUAGUCC